AUUGUCACACGAAGUUUCAGAAUGCAAGCUUGUAGUGCUGUUGUCAAUGGUUGAAAGAGAGACCCUGUAAUAGGACACUGAAUCUUGCGUGCAGAAUAAAAGUUUUGACAUCGGUUCUGGAAGACAAGUUUCAGAACAGUUCGACUCUAUGUGGACGAAGACAGCAAAUUCAUUUCCAAUUAUAUCAGUUUUAUAGACUGAAUGGCUGAAAACAGGAGAUAGAAAAACAUCCUCUGUCACUAUAGAAAAGCACUCUCAAAUUUCCAUGCUACUACUUGAAACGUGGUGAUGCUUUUAAAGCAGACAUUUUCCAUGGCCUUAACUGCUCACAGGUCUGUCCUAAAACCAAAGUAGCCACUGUGCAUACCUAGUAAGUACUGUUCAUAAACAUUUUUAUAAUGUUUGACCUUAAGAGUGACCUGAAGAUUAAUGGAUAUGUUGUAUCAGUUUUAAUGGGCCUCUUCUCCCUUGGAUGCACACAUGUGACUCCCAUUAGCCUUAAUGGGAGUUAUAUGUGUGCCUAGAGGUUAGACAAGACCUCUAAAGGUGCUGUUAUGCUCUGUUGUAUUAACGAUCUCAUAAUUGCUGAGGUGCUGCACCUUUGCGUUGAAAGCAAACUAAUUAAAUCAGUCUAGUAUAAGUUGGUAUACUAACAUACCUGUCAACAUUGCUCUGAUAUGAGACUGAAGAUGAUUCUUCAGAACAGUGGCUAGAGAUAAGGAAGGAUUCACAGUGUGUUUCCCAGCUGACCUACACUUUAUGCACUGUACCAGGACAAGCUUCUAUAGGUCAGAGCGAAAUAGACUGUACAUCUGUCAUUGUGACCAUGGCACAGAGCUUCCCUUCCUAUGGUGGAAACUCAAAGACCUGCAAUGGAGUCUGUAUCUAAAAAGUACCUCACUAAUUGGUAUGUCUAGGAGAGACUGCAGGGAAAAGACUUUUAUCAACCUGACAAAUGCAAGAGCAGAAAAAGAAAAAAAUCCAGCUUCAGAAAAGAGAAGAUGAGCUACAGAGACAGCAGAAGGAAACACUUUCUCUGCAACAGAAAAAGGAUGAUCUUACUGAAGUACCUCACUAUAUAUUGAAUAUGUAACUCCAUAUUGCUGCUCUCUGGGAACGUGGAGCUGCAGAAGCCUUGACUCUUUUGGGCUGAGACAAGAGAUUUCCACAAGUCCACCAGAUUCAUCUAUACCUAAGUGUGUUACAGGCUCCUUGUAGAAGCACCUUGCUGGCUCAAUUGCCAUCACAGCUGGAAGACUGAAAGAUGAUUGUUCAAGAGCACAGGCAGCCUUCAGUGGACAAUCAGAAUGUGCCUACAGCUGGAGAAACUCACUGGCAUGACGCCUUUGUUGCUCAUAAAUCUGAUUUCACAGAACUUGAAAAGAAGUUGGAUGAUACCAAAAAGGAACUGGAGGAGGUGCAUGCUAAUCUUGUCAUGGUCAUGCAGCAACUUGAUUUGGCAAGAGCUGAGGUACAACAGUGUAUUUGACUAUCAUCUGAAUGAAUGCUGCAAUAUCAGUUGGUAGGUUGUCAGUUUUGUGGUGGUGGUUAGUGAAUGCUGCUUGUAAAUUUAUUCCUCUUCACUGCUUCUUCUGCUGUUGAUUUUUUUUUUUUUUUUAAUAGAAGGAAAUUUUAUUCUGAAUGUCCGUAUUUCCGUAUACCAAUAUAGAGUAACUGAUUUCAGUGGCACUAUUGUAUAUUUUUAUAUGUGUAAGAUCAGGAUAUGCCUCUUCAUAAAGUAAACUUGUAAAGCCCAUUUUUCAUGCUGAUUUUCUUUAAAACAAAUCUCUUCAAUUUCAAGUUAAGAAACACAUACACACCAACUUUAAUAAUGUGAAUCAUGGUAUUGUGAAAAGGAGGAAAGAAAUAGAGGAGUUUUGUUGAUAAAUCUAGUAAAACAUACUCCAUUGAUUAACACUGUGUAAUAUCAACCUCAUAGGCAACUUAAAACAGGAAAAUGCUGGUUUUAUGCCCAAAUAUUAUUGUUUUCCAAUUUAAUUUUAAAUACUCUGAAAAUAUGCAGCUUCUUUUGCUAGCCGCAGGAAGACACUAGCAGUAGAAGUAGUAUGGCAAAAAACUAAUUUUUUCAUAAGAUUUAUAAAGCAUUAUACUAUUCACAUAGUUAGACACAGAUCAGAAUAAUUCUGGACUAAAAGUUUAGGUGGAAGGUAAUGAUGGAAUAGAAAUUCAGUUUUCUUAUUUUUCCUUGUUCAUUGUAAAUAGUAGAAAACCAAUAUAUUAGACUCUUUAUCUUCUGUUGAAAAUUUCCUUUUGAUAUGUUCUAAUUAUACUAAAUUAUUAUUAGCUUAUUUUGUUAACUAUACAUUUUAGUACAGAACUCAGCCAGUAUUUGGAAGUUCAUACCUUAGUGAGCAGAGGAAAAUAAUGCAAACAUACCUGUAUUAAUUUAUUCAAAAAUUUGGAGCUAGACCUGAUCCUUUGUCUUAUUGAACUUUUAUUUAAUGGCUAAAGCACAAUUCUUUUAAACAUGUUUAAUGAAAUAAUAGAAAUACAACUUAUUAACAUAAAUUAUGAGUCUGCCAUAUGACUGACAUUAAAAAGAAAUAUUAAUUUACCUGUGUAUUCUGUGAUUAGUGAUAAUUGUAUAAUUGUAGUUUAAAGGCAUGUUGAUGGAUCUAAUAGGUACAAAAAGUUUCUGUACAGGUAUGUUUGCAAUCUUACAAGGAUGUAGUCAUUUGUCUCGGUAUACAAAUAUGUACAAAUCCUAGCAUUGCAGUGAAAAUCCAAUAAUGAUUUAAUUGCAUCAAACAUGUUUGCAUUCUACGGUUUUAUAUUCUGUUACUGAAACACCAGUGUGUAAUAUUCAGUAAUCCUAAAUGAUAUACUGUGGGAUGCUGCCUGUAUUAUAUGAUGAGAAUACUUUGAGUUAGGUUUUGUCAUAAUGGUGUACUGUAUAAUAUAUUUUAUUAUCUAGAGAAAUUACAUUAUGCUAAGGAACUUAAAAAAAAAAGUUUCUUUCCCUUCAU
This is a non-coding RNA of Anas platyrhynchos (mallard), 2987 nucleotides long. NCBI's taxonomy places the organism in Eukaryota, Metazoa, Chordata, Aves, Anseriformes, Anatidae. The record is from RefSeq and is a predicted model, not a curated record.